GCCUGUGGUCUGCACGGCGGAGUUCGGCUUCAAGCUGCAGCCGGCCGCGCUGGAGAAGGCGAUCACGCCGAAGACCAAGUGGAUCAUCCUCAACUCGCCGUCGAACCCGACCGGCUCGGCCUAUACCCACGCCGAACUGAAGGCGCUCACCGACGUGCUGGUGAAGCAUCCGCAUGUCUGGGUGAUGACCGACGACAUGU
This 200-nucleotide unclassified non-coding RNA is filed under the name Hevea brasiliensis (rubber tree). Lineage: Eukaryota; Viridiplantae; Streptophyta; Magnoliopsida; Malpighiales; Euphorbiaceae. The record is from RNAcentral.